CGGAGUAGGAGGCAAUCGCUGCUAUGGAAGCAUCAUUUCCAUAGGAGAGGAAAGUCCGGACUUCAGAGAAAAAGGUGCCAGUGAAAGACUGGGGGCCGUAAGGCUACGGAAAGUGCAACAGAAAACAGGCCGCUAGUCCGAAAGGACUAGACAGGAUGAAAAUGAUGGGCUAGGGGCCCAUCCCCGAAGCAGUAAUGCUAAGGAAGAGGCAAACCCCACCUGAAGCAAGAAAAGAGUCUAAGCUGUUUUUCGCAAUGGGACUCUUUCAGUGUCGCUUGAGGGUCUUAGCAAUAAGGUCCCUAGAUGAAUGAUUGCAACUCACAGUUUGUGGGUGACAGAAUCCGGCUUAUUCCCUACCCGGGAAC
This 365-nucleotide RNase P RNA is filed under the name Chlamydiia bacterium. Its description in RNAcentral is "RNase P RNA component class A". It matches the Rfam family "Bacterial RNase P class A". Rfam says of the family: Ribonuclease P (RNase P) is a ubiquitous endoribonuclease, found in archaea, bacteria and eukarya as well as chloroplasts and mitochondria. The record is from RNAcentral. Lineage: Bacteria; Pseudomonadati; Chlamydiota; Chlamydiia.